GACGAACGCUGGCGGCGUGCUUAACACAUGCAAGUCGAACGGAAAGGCCCUGCUUUUGUGGGGUGCUCGAGUGGCGAACGGGUGAGUAACACGUGAGUAACCUGCCCUUGACUUUGGGAUAACUUCAGGAAACUGGGGCUAAUACCGGAUAGGAGCUCCUGCUGCAUGGUGGGGGUUGGAAAGUUUCGGCGGUUGGGGAUGGACUCGCGGGUUAUCCGCUUGUUGGUGGGGUAGUGGCUGACCAAGGCUUUGACGGGUAGCCGGCCUGAGAGGGUGACCGGCCACAUUGGGACUGAGAGACGGCCCAGACUCCUACGGGAGGCAGCAGUGGGGAAUAUUGCACAAUGGGCGGAAGCCUGAUGCAGCAACGCCGCGUGCGGGAUGACGGCCUUCGGGUUGUAAACCGCUUUCGCAUGUGACGAAGCGUGAGUGACGGUAAUGGGUAAAGAAGCACCGGCUAACUACGUG
This 468-nucleotide ribosomal RNA is filed under the name uncultured bacterium. RNAcentral describes it as "partial 16S ribosomal RNA". It matches the Rfam family "Bacterial small subunit ribosomal RNA", at positions 28 to 507 of the family's 1533-position model. The record is from RNAcentral.